This is a long non-coding RNA of Nothoprocta perdicaria, 575 nucleotides long. RefSeq lists it as uncharacterized. The record is from RefSeq and is a predicted model, not a curated record. NCBI's taxonomy places the organism in Eukaryota, Metazoa, Chordata, Aves, Tinamiformes, Tinamidae. The transcript is spliced from 6 exons.
UCAUUCCAUGAAGAAAAUACAGAGAACAUUAACAGCUUGGUAUCAAUGGUAUCACGAACUGCUGGAAUUCACUGUCAAGAUCUUCAGAACAGGGCAGCAGUGGCUGAUAAGACCUUCAGAGACCCCCUGAGAUUUGGGCACCAAGGUGGAUUAACCAGACACCUGGCCUAGACGAUUAUUGAUUUCUACUGGUCACCUAGCACCCUGUUGACUGGGACACGCUUGUGUUAUCCAGCCCCAGAUCCGCUCUCUGAUAUUCCACUCUCUGACACGUCUGCCUGUCUGAAGACUUGCGACUUACUUUAUGCCUGCAAGGAACGUAGAGAAGAACACGACCUUUUGAAGAUUAUACCUAAAAAAUAUGCGUGUGAAUGGAAAAGUAAGAGCACAGAAUAGCUGAAUGGAUUGAUCCCUUUCUGUCCAUCAGGUUAUCCAUAAAAUAUUCUGGACCUUCGGAGUUGCCAAACCAAUAUGAAACCAAGGCUGAACUUGGAGAAUGAGAUGGAACGUAGCUGGUGGAAGCCACGAGAUGAGGCGACUGGCAGAAGGCGUCACCGUUAUUCCGAGGUGUUUCU